UGAGUGGAAGCAGGGACUUUUKCUGUGAAAAAAUUAKAGUGUUCAAACCAGGCCUUYSCUCGAAUACAUUAGCAUGGAAUAAUAGAAUAGGACGUGCGGUUCUAUUUUGUUGGUUUCUAGGACCGCCGUAAUGAUUAAUAGGGAUAGUCGGGGGCRUCAGUAUUCAGCUGUCAGAGGUGAAAUUCUUGGAUUUGCUGAAGACUAACUACUGCGAAAGCAUUCGCCAAGGAUGUUUUCAUUAAUCAGGGAACGAAAGUUAGGGGAUSGAAGASGAUCAGAUMCCGUSGUAGUCUUAACCAUAAACUAUGCCGACUAGGGAUCGGGCGGUGUUUCUAUGAUGACCCSCUCGGCACCUUACGAGAAAUCAAAGUUUUUGGGUUCUGGGGGGAGUAUGGUCGCAAGGCUGAAACUAAAGAAAUGACGAAGCCACMCMGGGGC
RNAcentral lists this ribosomal RNA (438 nucleotides) under uncultured eukaryote. RNAcentral describes it as "partial 18S ribosomal RNA". It matches the Rfam family "Eukaryotic small subunit ribosomal RNA", at positions 744 to 1188 of the family's 1831-position model. The record is from RNAcentral.